RNA transcript from Nerophis lumbriciformis (worm pipefish), 1888 nucleotides. It is a transcript of the gene named stum, mechanosensory transduction mediator homolog, with no coding region annotated. NCBI's taxonomy places the organism in Eukaryota, Metazoa, Chordata, Actinopteri, Syngnathiformes, Syngnathidae. The record is from RefSeq and is a predicted model, not a curated record.
AGGAGGAAUGCUGAGUGCUGACCUGACAAGAGGAGACGCACCCGUCUUUCCAGGAAUUUUACUUUUUUUUCUUUGUGUCUUGACGCGCAGCAAGGAGACAAAUGAGGGACAUCACUAAUGAGACACUUUUUAGGACUUGGGGCCAAACGCUGUGGUGAGCGUCUCAAGGGAAUGUUCUUCCAUUGCCUAUCGGAGGAAUAGAUUUACUUGAUCAUUUUAUUGCCAUUGUCUAAUGUUGUUCUGAUGAUAAAUAGCAUUGUUUAUUGGACUGUUUAUGAUUUAUUUUACUUUUAUUGAGCUCAAGCAGCCACUUGUCUUGCUCUUGUGAUCAAAUUGAAAGUAAAAGAUGGCACAGAAGGAGGGAGGAACAGAGCAGUGGUGUGUGAAGACCGGGGACAAUUUUGGGGCCAAAGCCAUGCCGGGGGCCCCCGCACCAGGGGGCGGGGUGGUGGUGGGGGUCCGCGAGAAGAAGGGAGCCCUGAGGGCCGCCAUACCCACAAUGCCCUUCCCUCUGGCGGUCAUCUGCCUCUUCUUCAACACCUUCAUUCCAGGACUUGGCACCUUCAUCUCGGCCUUCUCGGUGCUGUGCGGCGCCCGCAGCGAGCUGGUCCCCGAGCGAGGCGUGUGCUGCGUCUUCUGGCUCAACAUGGCGGCGGCCCUCAUCCAGAUCCUGACGGCCGUCUUCAUGGUGGGCUGGAUCAUGAGCAUCUUCUGGGGAAUGGACAUGGUCAUCCUGGCAAUCAAUCCAGGUUGUGUUGUUUCAGUCAUGUGAUGUUCCAGCAUCUCAUUACGGAAUCUUUGUCAGGUUCAAGCACUAACUCUCUUUUUCUUCUUCUAUUUGUUGUCAUCGUCGUCUUCCCAACUCCAAGUUUCUGACGGCUACCGAGACCAAGGUGUUCCACAGGACGUCUGAGAGGACCCCAAUGGACUGGUGGUCUUUUUGAAGGACCCCCAAACAUGAGGACAACCUUUCCGUCCUUUAAUCGUCCGAUGGCAACGAUGGAGUGUUAGCGUGGUACAAAAUAGCAGCAUGGAGAAGAAGAAGAAAGGGCAGGAAAUAAUCACCAAAAUGUUAGCUAGCUCGCUAAUCAGCGGACUUGUGCUAGCUGAUAGCUUAAAACAAAACAAAGCGUUUUGCUUUUAUUACAUUUUUUGUUUGUUUUCUGGUGCUUUUGGUUAGUGUAAAGUGUCCAAUAAAUAAAACAAAGUACUUUCAUGCCAUAAAUGUUGCUAAAUAGUUGUUCUUUUGUUGACUUGAUAUUUUUUAACUACAAAAACAUGCAUGUAAAAUCAUUUUUAUUCUAGAAGUCCAAACUACAUCUGAUUACUCUUUGUUGUUCAACCCUUGGUUUAUGUAAAAGCUGCAAACUGACGUGCGCAACUGCACAAGUGACACAUGCACCCUGAUAAGUACCUCUCAUGUGUGUGUGUGUGUGUGUGUGUGUGUGUGUCUGUGCGUGUGUGUGUGUGUGUGUGUGUGUGUGUGUGUGUGUGUGUGUGUGUGUGUGUGUGUGUGUGUGUGUGUGCUGUACCACUUUUUUCUCAACAAAAGUGUGACAGUGUGACCUCGAUGGGAGCUAUAAAUAGAACUUUUCAGCAAGAAUCAAGGGAUAAUCUUUCUAGAAAAAAAUCCAUAAUCCCACCUUUAAGGGAAAAAAGUGUGCAUUAGCUGUAUUACGAUAUUAGUUCUAAUUUUAGCCUCCAUUCCACAAACUACUCUUUUUUUUUAAAUGUAUUUAUUUUCUACAUAUGAUAAUCUGGUACUGAUGCCUUGCUUUUUAAAUGCACAAACUGUUGUGUUGCUGGAGAAAAUAGUCUAUUAGUGUUCUUGCAUGCUUGCUUUUGACUGUACACAAACACAAAGAUUAAAUAAAAUGUUAUCACAAAA